UCAACCUUUAAAUGAUCAUCUGGAGCAAUUAACCCCCUAGGAAACUCUGGAGAGAAGCCACCCUGGGCAAAGGCAGUAGGAGAGCAGGUGACCUGGUGUGGCCCUGGGGAGGAGCACAUAGGCACAGUUGGUUGGUUCAGAAAGAAGCCCAACUUGGAAACACAGGUCCUAGAGAAGCUUCUCCAGGAUUUUGAGAUUGGAACCCAGUGUCUGGGAGGUGUGCAAGAAGGGAGCCUCUAAGUCUGGGGCAGUGGCAGGGGACAGCUCAAUGCCCUGGAGCGCCUUUUCACCCGCUUCCACCUGCUGUGAAGCCCAGCUCUGCCCUCCAUAGUUCCUGGAUCUCGGAUGCACCUCCCAACCUCUCUGAACCUCUCUUGCAUUUGUCUGGGAGAUGCAGAAACAAUAAUGCUUUCACGAGAUGGUUGCAAAGAUUAAAUAACUUCAGGAGAACAAAGCACCUCUUAUAAUCCCUGGCACGGAGGACAACUCCAUUCCAGUGCUGAGUCAAAGUUCAGACGCAGGGCAGCCAUGUUUCAAGCCCAGGGCGAUGUCUUUAUCACCCAGGGUGGGAGGACACGGUCCUUGACCUGCAAUGGCUGAAGGCCCUUCCCAGGAUCCCUGCUUCCUUCCAGCACUAAGGCGUCCGUCUCCCCACUGCUGGGCCUUCGGGUACCCAGAGUCAGCCUCAUCGACGGGCCCCAUGACACACCCGCGCUUCCCAAAGCCUCUGCGCGCUUCUGACCAAUGGGCACAGGCCCAGCACUUCUGAGGUGGUUCGAGGUCUGUCAGCCAAUUUCGCCAGCGAGCCCCAGACUUGCAGGGAGCGGGGAUCAGAGGCGGGGAAGACACACCUCAUUAGCCAGCCCUAGUGCCGCUGGCUCCGUCACCAUGGCAGCCAGCCCUCCCAAGACCAGGUGGUUUUUAUUACCGAACUUGGAAAAGUUUACAGCGGCGCCAACAAUGAAUCUUUAUUCUGUUGUUAAUAGCGUGUCUCUUAUUAGCAUGUAUCUUUUCCCCUCCUUAAUAACCUUUCCAUUUCCAAGCCGCAUUUAUAAUUAAGUCAUUAAUCCCUUCCUGGAAUUUGUUUUUCUGAAGCUGCCAACCAGAGGCCCCGUCUGGCGGGCGUGAAUGGGGAGGGCAGACGCCCCACCUCGCUGCUCUGGGAAUGUCGUUCUAAUUAUUGGAUCCUGACCCAGCAGCGCGCUGAUAAGCAGGGGGUUGGAGCCGCCCUAUCGUGGAGGAGCUCAAAGCCUGCUUAAGGCCUUUCCUCUACCCCUUCAAGCCUCCCUGCCAAGCAAUUAGCCUCACGGCUGCCUCAGACUUGGCAGCCCGGGAGGGGCCAGUCCCCACAGGACUGUGGUGGGGAGGGCCCAGGGGCCAGCAAUGCCUUCUGGCUCUGUCCCCACCAGAGGCAGCCCUGGAGGGCCUGGACUCCCCCUUCUCUUUCCCUUCAUGCAGGCCCUGGGUUCCAGUCUACAUAACGGGGAGCAUGGGAUUCAGUGUGUUCAUCUUGGGCUUCUGUGAUGGGCAGACUUGUGUCCCCCCAAAAUUCGCAUGUCCUAACCCCCAGGAUGACCUCAGGAUGUGACCAUAUUGGAAGGUAGGGUCUAUCCAAAAAUUAAGUUACAACAGAUUUGUGAGGACGGGUGCUGAUCCACUGUGACUGAUGUCCUUAUAACAGGAGAGCACGUGAUGACACAGGGGGAAGAUGGCCAUCUACAAGCGAGGAAAGAGACCUCAGAAGCAGCCAACCCUGUCGACACCUCGACCUCACCCUCCAAAGCUGUGGGAAAGCACAGCUCUUAAGUUGAGCCCCCAGCACAGGGCCCUUUGUUAUUGGCAGCCGAGGCGGACCAAGAUGGCGGCCCACCCCCUGGGACGUGCUCUGGUUCUCCUCCCACUGAUGGGCCUUCAAAUACUCCAAGGGUCAGGGGAGAGGCAUCCAGGCCUCCUGGCUCCCGGUUCCAGGCUGUGCUCAAGAGACAGGGCUUGCCCAACAGUGAAGAGGGGCAGAGAGGUCCUCUCCCACAGCUUCCAUGGGCUCCAGCCUCGGGGGUCGGGGGAGGUUGGCUUCUAGAGGCAGGGACUUGGCCAUGGCAUCCACCCAAGACCUUGAAAGUGAGUCCAGGCCAGGUCCCUGUGCCAGCCUCCUAUGGCAUGGGGGCCAACAUGGAGUCAAGAGCUGGGCAUCAGGGUGGGUACAGGUCAGAGUUGGGAAGGGCCUGCCAGCCUUGGAGGUCUGCUGUGCCCAGGCUGGCCUGACAUGGGGCAACUAGGCCAGCUUGAGGGUCUAGAGGACAGACACCUGGAGAAUUGUGGCCCACAUCUUCUUGCUGCCCCUGGACUGUCACCACUCUCCCGCCAGCCCUAAAUGACGAAUGCCCUUAAUCUUAUCCCCAAGACCCCUCAGUGUAUCUGCAUUGCUCUCAGCAUGGCUGACCAGCCACCAGUCUGGCCCCUACUUUAUCCUCAUGUACCCUUCCCCCAUCACGCUACGCUUCUCACUCUUCCCAUCAUAACAUGUUCUUUCACACCUCAUUUAUCUGUCCAUCCACCCAUCCAUCCAAAUAUCUAUUCAGUUUCUGCCAUGUGAGUCCUGUUUGAGGCUCUGGUGAUACAACACUGAGCCACCGUUCACAGCACCACCUCUCAAAACUCAGUCUUAACGGGGCUCGACACCAAUCCCAUCAACUGACUUACAUCUAAGCUUAUAGACCGAGAAGCACCAUAAAGGGAAAACUCAAGAGUGGUAAGCCUGUAGAACCAUGGGGCUGACCAGGUUGGGGCUGAGACCUGGACCUCAAGUAGGAGCCAACCAGGAGGAAGGAAAGGAAGAGUGUUUUCAAAGGGAACAGCACUGCAAAGUCCCAAGGGCAGGGAGCUGGAUGAAGAAACCUCAAGUGACAGGAGCACAGAAUGAGGGGGAGAGGGGCAGGGCUGAGGUUAGUUAGAGGCAGGGGUUUGGCGCUGGACCAGGAGCUCUUGAAAGGUCAAGGCUGCAUGGAUACAUCUUGUCCCUAGGACCAUACCUGGUUUGAGUGAGGAGCUAAUAUCUGAGACUGUCACUAGCCAUCCUUUGUGUAGGGAGGGCAGCUAGUUCAAGGACUUCUGUUGCACAUGACCAGACUCCUAUACAUUACCCUCCAAGGGGAACUGUCAAGGUCAUCUCUCUCCUCUAGGCUUCUGAGUCCUUUUUUCUCCUCUUUCACUGUUAGUAUUUGGACAGGUUCUUCUCCAGGAGUUUGGGGUAUGGGUCACUCAGGUUUCUACAGCCCAGCCCAAGUCGUCACUUUCUCUGGCUCUGCUCAACUUGUCAGAUCACACACAGUCACACAGGCAGGCAUGCACACUGCAUGCUUCUUGGGGUCCCAUGGGGGCAUCUGGCUUGUGCUCACAAACCAGAGUCUGCGGUGUUCCAGUGCUGCCCUGGGGUGACUGUGCUCACACCACCUCUGACACUUCCUGGUGCUGAACGAAUGCUACAACCAGCCAGCAGUGAGCUGCCAGGCAGGUUCCCAUCCAGAGGCGAAGACAAGCCCGUUCUACAUUCUACAUAAUUGCACCUGGUGUCCAGUUACAGUCCUCUCUCCUUAGGGCUUAGUCUGCAGAAGGGUUUAUGACGGAAUGUGUAUGAUGCUAAGCCCCCCAGGUCCCGCCCCUCUGGGGCUCGUCUCACACACACACACACACACACAGGGGUGCCUCCCUCCAGCCUUCAUAUAUGCCAGCACAUGCUGGGGCACCCCUGGGCAAAUUUCCUCACAAGAUGACCAAGCAGGCUUAGAAUUAUCUGGAUCCUCACACAGACAUGACUCAGGCUCUGGCUUCCCUUUAGUGUACAGGGUCGUUAUUUUUUAUAGAUUACCAUAAAUGUGCAUUCCAUUUUGAGUGCUUCCCCCCACUCUACAUGGUAAUAGGCAUGCCUGGGUUCUCAAGGUCCUUGUAAGCAUAGUUCCUAACAGCUCCCUGCCAGUCCCAUAAAUGGGCUUCCUACUUUACCCAAGCACUCCCCCAUUGUUGGGUGCGCAGCUAGUUUCCAGGUUAUUGCUGUUAUAACUGAUGUGCAUGGAAAGCCACCCUAUAUUGGUUGCUUAGCAUGUGUUUUCUGAAGGACCAGGUCAGGAAGUUUGAAAAGCUUUAGUCCCUGGAGUUCAACUGCCAUCCACUGGAAUUGCUAUAGCGUCUGCCUGGCUGGAUUACCUCUCGUUGAGAAGGCCAGGAAUGACUCUUGAAGCUCAGGAUUUUAUAGAGAACUAAAGCUAUGGGCCAAGGACUGAUUACAGGCCAUAGAACCACCCAAGUAGAGUGUUUAACUAAGCAUUUAAGCAUAAAUAUGGAUCAAAAUUAAACUAUCGCUACCAUGGCUCAAAACUAUAUUAAGCUAUUGCUACCAUGGGGAUCUUGUAUUAAUAGCAAUCUCUCCUCCUGGGUUGUGUGAGCAGGGAGUAUACCCCUUAGCUGGGGCAGGUAAGGCUCAGGCACGGCCCUGGAUUGCCCUUUAUUGUCUGGAGACGGGGUCCAUCCCCUACGUCUCCAAGUUCACCCUGGCCCCAGGUCAGACUGUCUGCACUGUACCAGGCAUUGGAUACCUGCGCCAGGGCUGGCCUGACAAUGGCAGAGGCGUUCAUAUGCUAAAAUGGUGCAAAGUCCCUAUAUCAAGGGCAGGGUCUUGAACCGCUGCAUCUCUGAGGCUUUGCCUAUUUUUGCUCCUAUUGAAACCUGCUGCCAAAGCUGGAGGAGUGACUCUCCUCCAGUGAGACAUUUGUUGCCUCUGGGUGCUGGUAUAAAAUGGGCCCUUCUCUGCAUUCUGGUAGUCGGUGGGGCUCAUGGACCUUCUCAGCUUUUCACAGGAAGAGAAAAUCUACUCCGUAUACUCGAUUCCUUCAUUCACGCGUAGGCCAUUUCCUAGGCUGCCUAAGUAAGUCCACUGCGCUUGCCGCACCUCACACAGAGGCCGUGGUUGACAUCUCUUCUUGUGUCCUUGUGUACAUGUGAGGGGUGUUUAACUCUUUCACGUCACACCUUCACCAUUUAUUAAAACUAAGGUGAUAACUUCCAGAGUUAACAAGAGCGUUCUUCCCAGGGGCCUACUUGCCUUUUUGAACGGGACAGUUCUUAGGAUCAUCUUUUAAGAAUGAGAAGCAGAGCAUCAUGGGAAAAUGACAGGCAGGGAUAAGGGUUUAUAGGGGCACAUCUCUUCAGGGGCCAUCCUUGAAGGCAUUGGAAAAAGUAAUUUCUUAUUUGGUUGGUUAUAUCAGAGACCACAGCUACUUGUCAAAGACUCAGGGACAGGUGGGGAUUUUGUUAGUGACCAAGUCAGACUGGGGUCAGCCUGCCCCUGAGCUCAAGUCCUGGCUCCCUCCGAGCACGGCUGUGUGACUUUGGUAGAAACACCUUCUGGGCUUCAACUUGUCUCAUAAGCAGAUCUGAGUCAAUAGUAUUAAUACUGAAGAGAUUAAAUGAGAUUCAUGUCAAGUGCUUAAGGCAGUGCCUGGCACACAGUGGGGCCUAAUCAUUGCUGCUAUUAUAAGCUCAUUUUCGAAAUUGCCUCCCUCCUGGUGCUCCAGCAGUACUGCACACCAUAUACAGUCUCGCAACUAACAGAUGACGUUCAUUCCAUUAACCCUUUGAAUUCUAACAACAGAGGAAAAUUAAUUUCCUGCUCAUAUAUCAUCCUCAUCGCUAAAACGUGAGCAAUCCUAACGUCCCCUCCUUACAGGGCUGUGCGAGAAUCCCACCAGAAGGCCUGUGUGUUAGAAAAUCUUGUAACUGCCACAAGAGCACACAAAGGGAAGCUGUGUGACCAUUUGUGCCUUACUUUUGCAAAGCUACAUCUGUCCUCCAACUGCUAAGUUCCAGACACACGCUGUGGCCCUUUUGUCCGUAGCCCGGCAUGUGAAGGCUACAGGGCAGACGAACACCAGGGUGCACUGUGGCCAAGAUCUCAGUUUAUUCCUCUGCAAUUUUAGGCAAGUUACUAAGUCUGAGACUCAAGCUGCCUCUGCUUUGAAAUCACAUGGUUCGAUCUCAGAGUUGUUAAAUCCCAGUGGUAUAAUUUAGGUAAAAUGACCAUUUUUCAACUACUAACAUCUGUCUCUGUGCUAGACAAGACUGUAGGGCAAUAGGAAUAGGUGCUGAGCAGAGAUGAGCCCUGCCCUCUUGGACUGAAGGCAACAGAUAUGCACCAUGUGUAACUGGGGUACCAGUAACACAAAAUUUGACUCCAAACAGCUUUGACAAGCCAGGCAAUUUAACAUCUUACCAUCUCCCAAGAUAGGCCUAUCCCAGCAUUGGCUAAUUCAUAGCUCCUGUGUAUUCAAGACAUUCUUUCCACCUUUCAGUUCUACAAUCCUUAGCAUACUGAUGUUUGGCUCCAGCCCCAUGCCCUCAUGGUUACAAAAUGGCUGCUGAGGCUCUGGGUUUAGCAUCCUCACAUGGCAUUGGAAGAGGCCAGGAAGGCAAAGUCCCCCUCCUUGGUGUCCAUUUUUGUUUUCUGGACUGAAGAAACCAUCUUCAGGCAUGCCAGUCAGUACCAUUUAGUACUUUCAAUGUUGCCCAGUAUCAAGUUCCAAAACAUGUACACCCUAGAAGAGAACCCUUAUGUCUUUUGAGGAAACCUUUCCUAGAAUCUCAAAAGAUGUGCCCCUCAAGUCUCAUCAACCCAAAUUGAGUUACAUGAUUGUUCUUAAAGCAGUCACUGGCAAGGAGAGUGGCAUUACACUGGGCCAAUCAGAAGUCCCUACAGUUCAGCAGCCCCGGCAGCACAGGACCGUGACCAGGACCAUAUGAUUCCCUGAACAAAUAAGUUCAUCCGCACAGGGUGGAGAGUACACAGAUGCCCAGGGGGGUGCAGCCUUUCCCUUAUUAGUGACUGUUGGACGAGUGGGCAGAACACACCCCAACCUUUCCCAUUUGCCAAAAUGAAAAAACAGUAGGUGCAGCCCAUAUAGCCCCCCUCCAAGGGAAUGCCCAAUUAGUUCUCAGCGCCUGGAGUAGGCAACUUUGCAAUCAGAACAGCAGUUUCAGAGACAGCAGAGGAACUGGCAUCUGGAGCCUGGAUGCCUUCCCAGCCUCUCACAAAUUCUCCAAUUACACCGCUUUUCGGAUCUUUUUCACUACCCCAAACCGACUGCUCUCCUAGUCUUUGAAAAUGCUACUCAGAAACAGACCAUAUUAUGUGUUGGAGACACCUGUUUGCAAUCACAUGGCCUUUUAUGGAUCUAUUUGGAAGCCUGUUUUCGGGAGCUACCUAGAAAGCCAGAAUGGUACAGCUAACACCUGCAUGAAAUGUACUCCAUGCUGGAGGGUCUGCUUCCCUUUCUUCCUGGUGUCAGAGACUUGUGAGGAUGGCAGCACCCUUACCUGUCUGGGGGUGCCUCAGGCACAGGGAACACCCCACAUCUUGCACACACCCCCGCUCCCCACCACAGGAUGAAGGGCUAACUGGCACCUUCCCUCCUUCCUGGGGUGAGGGCUCAGGGGACAAGGUGGGCCAGAGGUUCCUGUCACAGGCAGGCAGAGGUGAUGCCUUGGCAAGCGGGGGUGGUGGUGACUCAUCUCCUGUCUCAGAGAGCCAGCCAUUCAUUCAUGGCGCAAACAAGGAUGGAGGUCAGAGGUGGCCCAACGCUGGGCUAGGUGCCAGACACUAUGCUGCUGCGUGGACCCAGCCUCCUUGGAGCAUAAAGUCUAUAGAAUCAAAUAACCUUCCAAAUACAAUCGCACACCAUGGAGAUGCCUCAUGUUUGCAACACCUGACUGGCCCAUUUAUGCGGGGGGUGGGGGGUGUGCAGGGAAAAAACCCACCAGCAAUUGUAACAGUCUUACUGUUGGACAAUGUCACACCAACAGAGCCCAGAUGGGGGGGCAGUGGCCAUUCACCUUAACUUUGGCCUUUUUACACCCCUUUGAGGCUGCCUCGAAGCAAGUCCAAAUGCUCCUCCACUAAUUUUGCACAUUCAUCUCUUGCUAGUCUCUGGCUUGCAGUUUUUUUCACAGCUGGAUGGUUGUGUAAUAACGUACUUAUAAUAAAAGGGAAAUUGUAGAUCUGAGUCAGAGGUCAUACUUUCUUAAAGGGCCAGAUAGUAACUUUUCCACGCUGCAGGCCCAGGCUGCAGGGUCUCUUUUGCAGCUACUCAGCUCCGCAGUUGUUAUCAGGAAAGCAGCCCAUCUGUGAAUGAACAGGCCUGUUUCCAAUAAAGUUUUAUUUAGGGACUGAAUUUCAUGGUUUUCACAUGUCACAAAAUACCAUUCUUUAGUUUUUCCAGCCAUUUUAAAACCUAAAAAUGCACUCUUAGCUUGAAGGCCACACAAAAACAGAUUUUUUGGCCUGUGAGCUACAGCUUGCCCUUCCCCUAGGUAGGUGGUGGGAUGUAGGUAUUUUAUCAACGUCGAGCAAUAUUAAGAUUUCUACAGAAAAUGAUGAGACAUCAGUGGCUUGUUUUUUUUGUUUUGUCUUGGUGUUUUUCUUAAUCUGUUUGGCUAGCCACACUGAGGUACCCUCUUGGUUAACUACUCUGUCCACUUUCUCUUUUGCACCUCCUUAAGGAAUCUCACCCUGCCCUGACAUUACAGGUGUCCUGUAUGACAUAUCACAGAAGUACAGGAUACAGAGAGAUCUAGGAUUUCUGUAAACCAAAAGGAUACACCUGUGUGAUGAGAGCUUCGAUGUGGCUAACUCACCAGGUGCCCGUGGUUACUGACUGUCCCUUCCCAGUGACUGGAGGUACUCUCAGCUUCCUGCCCAGCUCUCCUCAUUUGAAGGUCUGUUUCUGGCCAUUUCCAAGUCUUCCUGUUUCCCCUCCCCCACCUUUCUCAACAUCCUCCCACGGGCCCCUGAGUGGUGACAACAGCCUUCCUGGCUCUAGACAGUGGUCCCACGUUCCACCGAGAUUCAUUUUAGGGAAGGCCCCGGCUACCCACACAGCUUCGCCACCCCAUCGCGUGGAUGCUUUAUUUAGCUGAUGAAGCGUCCGUCUUCACUUUAUUCAGGGGCAAGGAAAGAGAAAGAAAAGGGACUUGAGGUGGGAAGAAUCACUUCCCAGAAAGCAGCAGGGAGGCCCCCACACCUUCCGCUAGCCUCAUGAAACCUUGGAGAAGGCUGGGUUUCCCCACCUGUGCCCACCCCUCCUCCAGGGCAUUCUUCGUGCCCUGGACUCUGCUGCAACAGCUGACCCUAUUUUUUAGUGCAGUCAGUGAAUUUUAGCCUUUAAUGCUCUUCUUUCUCAGAGGCAGGAGAGAAGUGGUGCAGCUGGAUGGGACAUGGGAAAGGAAAUGGCUUUGGCAGGCCCGGUCCAAAUCCUAGGAGGCAGCCCUGGCUGAAAUCGGGGAAAGGGAACCCUGCUCCUGGGGGUUUGUUCUCAGUGUUAGACAAUCUUUUUUAAAGGGUAGAACAGGAGGAAUUGAGGCACGAUUAAGGCAGACCUGGAUUCAGCUCCCUGCUCUGCCCUGAAGCUGUGAGACUAACCAUUUAAGACUUUAACAGGGAGAUGGAGCAAGAUGGAGCAUGGGCCAGAAGUGGGGAAGGGAGCACGGGCAUCUCACAGCCAUCCUGGCAUGAGGAAUCGAACCAACUCCUGUUCACCGUGUACCGCAGAUUCCCUCUUCAACCAGAGCAUCCAUUCAAAAGUCACCUGGACCAAAUGGAUGAAGGAGACAGAUGUUUUCGAACCUCAACAAAAGAUUAGCCAAUGGAGUUCUUUAAAGGAUGCCUGCCUGAGUGCAUGUAUGAAAUAAUGCUCACUUUACAAGAGACCAGUCUGCCCACAGUGUUUCCAGGCAAAGUCACUGCAUAAAGCAAGUUACCUCAUGUUUAUCUGCACCUAAUUCCCAGCCCAAACACACUUGACUAUUUUGGUCUAGACCACAUUUGAUCAUUGCAAACAGCCACCAAAUCCCUCUCCUCUCCUAUUUACGGAUCGAGGCAGCUGCUCUAUUUGCAUGCCCUGCUCCUUAGUAUAAACAGGACUCUGAUUUCCUAACUUUCUUUGGGGAAUUCCUCCUAGGCGCCCAUGUUUAUUUAUGAAGCCAGUUUGGAAGCACAGCAGACAUGACUAAGUUCUGGGCUUUAGCUGUGGUUAGCUGCGGGGAGCUGGCAUUACCUGGAUGAAAAAGGAGGUAAAGGUGAGGUGGCGGGGGCCCCACCCACAGGAAGGGAUCAGGUUUUCCUUGACAAUCAUCCUGGGAUUACCCAUCACCUUUCUUUGGUUACUUCAUUUUGCUUUGGCCACCAGGAGGUUCAGAGGUAAAUCAGAUCUUAUUCCGGGCUCCUGAAGAGUUCUUCCUUCCAAUUCUCUAACUGGCCCGGGAAACCUCCUUUUGGUUUUACUUUUGGCUAUCUUAAAACCAUAAACUGCCUCAGAUACUUUCAGGAAGUAGGUGUGGUGUAAGUCUCAAGCAAACACACCCCAAGUACACCAAAGGCUUCCUCCUGCCUCCAUUAAAAUGGCACUCUCUGUGUAUCUUUUGCUGGAGGAUUUUCUCUGUAUUAGCUGAUAAAAUAACCCGUAGCAAUGUUGAGACUGAGAGGGCUGGAGCUGAACUGGACCACACAGGUCUCAGCAAAAGGAAGGCAUUAUCAUUACUAACUACCCCACGUCCUUUCCUGAUACUUACAAACCAGGAACACCAACACCCAGGAGAAUAGGAAAAGGCUUUUUCAGAACCCGCAUCUCCCAGCCCUCCCAGCCUGCUGCUCCUUGCAACCUGCCUGCUGUGUCUUUGAGGCCAUGCCAGCCAGCUAACAGAGGCCUUCCCAAGACACCAUCCCACACCAUAGAGGAGGUUCUACUGGUGGGAAUGGCAACAGGAAAUCUGAGAUUUUAGUGGCCCUGUCUACUGUCAGAUUCCAAACUCAGAGGAAAGCCUCCACAGUGGUACCUGGACAUCUCACACUAGUUCUGGGUUGUGAUGGGCAGGGCAGGCUGAGAGAGAAGAGGCCCAGGCAUUUAACCCAGCAGGAAAAGUCAGCAGCAUCUAAAGGUCAGGUAAGGUCAAGGGUCAAGCCCAAAGAGGACAAUCAUGUCUUCCAAGGUUGAGACAUCUGGACUUACCUUCUACAUGAGGCUCAGCUUUAACCCGGCCCCAUCUUGGCCACAUGUCUGUCCAGCCCCACCUUGAACAUCUCCAUGGAUGAAGAUUCAUUACAACCAAAGGGUCCUGAGUUAGUAAGAUAGGGAGGAACGGACAGGUGCUGAAUGACCUGGGCUUCAGGGUCCCAGAGGUCAAAGAGAUGUGAUGAGGUAGCACAUGGCUGAUGUAUAAUUCUAGGAUGGAGGCAGCUCCUUGGCUGAUCUUAUGGAACUUGUAGAUCCCAUAGGAACUGGCAGGAGCUGGAAGGACACCCAGAAGCAGGUGAACGGUCCCUCCGACAUGGGUAGCCAUGGCUACUUGGUCACCUCCCUGGGAGUGAGUCCACUGUGCGAUGUCUGGCCUCCCUCAAGAGAUGAGAGUGUCAUGCUGAUGGCUGUAGCCACGAAGAGCCAAGAAAGGCUGGAAAAGAAGGCUGCGCUCUCUCCAGGACAUCUUCUCUGGGAGCGAUGAAUCUGGAGUGAGGUUGAGGCGAUGCCUUGAUUUGUACUGUUUGCUGAUUCCCAUGGUGUAAAGACACCCACCGUGGUCCAUCUACAUGGCCAGUCUGCCUGUGUGAGGUCACUGACUCAGGGUUGGGAGAGGUACUAACAACCAUCUUAUAAGCUGGCCUCGCAUCACGGGGGGAGCGUGACCUGGUCUUCGCUGCUGCUCUGAUUCUAACCUGCCCUACAACUCCAAGCCUUCGUUUCCUCAUCUGUGCAACAGAGCGAUGAACCCCUGUCUUCAGGUGCCCCACAGGGGUCAUCAGGAAGAGAGUGAGUGAAAGGGCUUUGCUAUUUUUUAGCAAGCUCUCUGGGGAAAAAAAAAUAAUAAAAGAGCUUUAAAGUGU
Sus scrofa (pig) is the source of this 11917-nucleotide non-coding RNA. The record is from RefSeq and is a predicted model, not a curated record. Lineage: Eukaryota; Metazoa; Chordata; Mammalia; Artiodactyla; Suidae.